CAAAGGUUUGGUCCUAGCUUUACUAUCAGCUCUAGCCUAAUUUAUACAUGCAAGUAUCCGCAUCCCUGUGAGAAUGCCCUCAAUCCCCCGACCGGGGACGAGGAGCAGGCAUCAGGCACCCUUAUUUGCCCAAGACGCCUUGCUACGCCACACCCCCAAGGGAAUUCAGCAGUAAUUAACAUUAAGCCAUAGGUGAAAACCCGACUUAGUUAAGGCUAAAAGGGUCGGUAAAAUUCGUGCCAGCCACCGCGGUUAUACGAAAGACCCCAGUUGAUAGCCACGGCGUAAAGGGUGGUUAGAGAGUACAAUAAAUAAAGCUAAAGAUCCUCUAAGCCGUCAUACGCACUCCGAGGGCACGAGACCCCUACACGAAAGUAGCUUUAAACAAAACCCACUUGAACCCACAAAAGCUAAGAAACAAACUGGGAUUAGAUACCCCACUAUGCUUAGCCUUAAACCUAGAUGUGACAAUACACUAACAUCCGCCAGGGUACUACGAGCACAGCUUAAAACCCAAAGGACUUGGCGGUGUCUCAGACCCACCUAGAGGAGCCUGUUCUAGAACCGAUAACCCCCGUUAAACCUCACCACUUCUUGUUUUCCCCGCCUAUAUACCGCCGUCGUCAGCUUACCCUGUGAAGGUCUAACAGUAAGCAAAAAGGGCCAACCCAAAAACGUCAGGUCGAGGUGUAGCGCACGAAGUGGAAAGAAAUGGGCUACAUUUUCUACAAACAGAAUACUACGGACGGCAUACUGAAAAAAUGCCUAAAGGUGGAUUUAGUAGUAAAAAGCAAGCAGAGUGUGCUUUUGAACUAGGCUCUGAGACGCGCACACACCGCCCGUCACUCUCCCCUCACAUUCACACUUCAACCCACCAUCACUAAUAAUACAACCAUCACUUCGGGGAGGCAAGUCGUAACAUGGUAAGUGUACCGGAAGGUGCACUUGGAAUAAU
This 955-nucleotide non-coding RNA is filed under the name Pareutropius debauwi (African glass catfish). Its description in RNAcentral is "12S rRNA". It matches the Rfam family "Bacterial small subunit ribosomal RNA". Lineage: Eukaryota; Metazoa; Chordata; Actinopteri; Siluriformes; Schilbidae. The record is from RNAcentral.